Molecule: ribosomal RNA, 645 nt
Filed under: uncultured bacterium
Lineage: Bacteria
Description: bacterial SSU rRNA
Rfam family: Bacterial small subunit ribosomal RNA
Source: RNAcentral
UAAAGGAAGCGAUUCCGGCUACGGAUGGGCAUGCGGCGCAUUAGCUAGUCGGCGGGGUAACGGCCCACCGAGGCGACGAUGCGUAGGGGUUCUGAGAGGAAGGUCCCCCACACUGGUACUGAGACACGGACCAGACUCCUACGGGAGGCAGCAGUGAGGAAUAUUGGUCAAUGGGCGAGAGCCUGAACCAGCCAAGUCGCGUGAGGGAAGACGGUCCUAUGGAUUGUAAACCUCUUUUGUCGGGGAGCAAAAAGGCCUCGUGAGGCCACAAGUGAGAGUACCCGAAGAAAAAGCAUCGGCUAACUCCGUGCCAGCAGCCGCGGUAAUACGGAGGAUGCGAGCGUUAUCCGGAUUUAUUGGGUUUAAAGGGUGCGUAGGCGGACUGGAAAGUCAGCGGUAAAAUCGAGAGGCUCAACCUCUUUCCGCCGUUGAAACUGUCGGUCUUGAGUGGGCGAGAAGUAUGCGGAAUGCGUGGUGUAGCGGUGAAAUGCAUAGAUAUCACGCAGAACUCCGAUUGCGAAGGCAGCAUACCGGCGCCCGACUGACGCUGAGGCACGAAAGCGUGGGUAUCGAACAGGAUUAGAUACCCUGGUAGUCCACGCAGUAAACGAUGAAUACUAAUUGUCCGGUCAGAAUGAUGACUGG